GACAGAGGUGCCGAGCGUUAGGCGGAAUCACUGGGCUUAAAGGGUGCGUAGGCGGUCCGGUAAGUCCGCUCUGAAAGUCCGGGGCUCAACCCCGGGAGGCGGGCGGAUACUGUCGGGCUAGAGUCCGGAAGAGGCGAGUGGAAUUCCUGGUGUAGCGGUGAAAUGCGCAGAUAUCAGGAGGAACACCAAUGGCGAAGGCAGCUCGCUGGGACGGUACUGACGCUGAGGCGCGAAAGCGUGGGGAGCAAACAGG
This 253-nucleotide ribosomal RNA is filed under the name uncultured bacterium. Its description in RNAcentral is "partial 16S ribosomal RNA". It matches the Rfam family "Bacterial small subunit ribosomal RNA", at positions 524 to 776 of the family's 1533-position model. The record is from RNAcentral.